Molecule: ribosomal RNA, 1393 nt
Filed under: uncultured bacterium
Lineage: Bacteria
Description: bacterial SSU rRNA
Rfam family: Bacterial small subunit ribosomal RNA
Source: RNAcentral
GGAUUAGGCAUGCAAGUCGAACGAGGGAGUGUUGAAAGGGACACAAACCGAGUGGCGUAAGGGCGAGUAAUGCAUUGAUAACCUGCCCUUUGAGAUGGGGAUAACAACGCUCGCAAGAGACUUCGAAAGGGUUGCCUAAUCCCAAUAAGACUGUUGGUGCGGAGGUGCUGAGAGUCAAAGGCUGGAGUGAAAGCUCAUUUGCUCAGAGAGGGGCAAUGUCCCUAUCAGCUAGUUGGUAGGGUAAAGGCCUACCAAGGCGAAGACGGGUAGCCGGCCCUGAGAGGGUGGUCGGCCGCAUUGGGACUGAGACACUGCCCAGACUCCUACGGGAGGCUGCAGUCGAGAAUCCUUUCGCAAUGCCCGCAAGGGUGACGAAGCGACGCCGCGUGUGGGAAGAAGGCCUUCGGGUUGUAAACCACCUGUCGGGAGUUAAGAAAGGUGUACGGGUAAAUAGUCCGUGCAUUUGACAAAAGCCGGAGAAGCCACGGGUAACUCUGUGCCAGCAGCCGCGGUAUACAGAGGGUGCAGCGUUGUUCGGAAUUAUUGGGCGUAAAGAGCACGUAGGCGCCCUGCAAGUCAGCUGUUGGAAAGCCUCCUUGCUAACGGGAGAAAGGUCAGUUGAAACUUCGGGGCUAGAUCGGAAGGGGAGAGUGGAACUUUGGGGAGCGGUGAAAUGCGUAAUAUCAGAAGGAACACCGGGGCGAAAGCGGCCUCUCUGGUCCGUAACUGACGCUGAGUGUGCGAAAGCUAGGGGAGCAAACGGGAUUAGAUACCCCCGGUAGUCCUGGCCGUAAACGAUGGGCACUCGGUAGAGGGGUUUUGAAUAUCUCUCUGCCUGAGCUAACGCGUUAAGUGCCCCGCCUGGGGAGUACGGCCGCAAGGCUAAAACCUCAAAAGAAUUGACGGGGGCUCGCACAAGCGGUGGAGCAUGUGGCUUAAUUCGAUGCAACACGAAGAACCUUACCGGGGCUCGACAUGACAGAAGUAGGAGUCCGAAAGGACAACCAACGGUUAUCCAGUCCGUAGCUGUCACAGGUGGUUGCAUGGCCGUCGUCAGCUCGUGUCGUGAGACGUUGGGUUAAGUCCCCUAACGAGCGAAACCCUUUGUCUUUAGUUGCCAACGGGGCAAGCCGGGCACUUCUAAAGAGACUGCUGUCGUUAAGACGGAGGAAGGUGGGGAUGACGUCAAGUCAUCAUGGCCCUUAUGUCCCGGCUGCACACGUGCUACAAUGGUCGGUACAAAGGGAUCUAAUCGCAAGAUGGAGCGAAACCCAAAAGCCGGUCCCAGUUCAGAUUGGAGGCUGAAACCCGCCUCCAUGAAGGAGGAAUCGCUAGUAAUCGCGGAUCAGCUAUGCCGCGGUGAAUAUGUUCCCGAGCCUUGUACACACCGCCC